Molecule: long non-coding RNA, 1440 nt
Organism: Engraulis encrasicolus (European anchovy)
Lineage: Eukaryota; Metazoa; Chordata; Actinopteri; Clupeiformes; Engraulidae
Exons: 8
Source: RefSeq, a predicted model, not a curated record
UUUAAAUCUCUUAUGCUCUGGAUAAGAUGGACGUCUUUCCUCUGACCUGUUACCAAGACAGCUGGAUGUGUAAGAAGCUGGAACUAAGUCACUGAAGAAGUAAACCGAUGAAAACCGAUUUGGAUUGUCUGAGAGAUGACACAAGUAAAAGGAGAAGAAUGCUGCUCAGCUGGGUUGGCGAAGCUCUUGGAUAUCAUCAGCACAUGUAUGAAGCACAGAGUCAUUCCGGUAGGCACAGAGUCGUUCCUCGAUGGACGUGAUGACCUGGCACCAAAACCGCUUAAUGUGUAUGAAGCUGUCUGCAUCGAGGGAAGAACCCAGCACUGAAAUGACACAAAUGAAAGAAGAGUACUUCUGCUCUGCUGGGUCUGCGACACUACUUAUCCGAGGAGUCCUCAAACAUCAGGAUGUAGGAAGACACAAGUAAAAGGAGAAGAAUGCUGCUCAGCUGAGUCGGCGGUCACACUACUUAUUCAAGAAGCUCUUGGAUAUCAUCGGCAUGUGUGAAGCACAGUCAUUCCGGUAGGCACGGAGUCGUUCCUCGAUGGACGUGAUGACCUGGCACCAAAACCACUUAAUGUGUAUGAAGCUGUGUCUGCAUCGAGGGAAGAACCCAGCACUGAAAUGACACAAAUGAAAGAGGACGUCUUCUCUGCUGGGUCUGCGACACUACUUAUCCUAGGAAUCCUCAAACAUCAGGAUGUAGGAAACUUAUGGUGAGAUGCCAAGAACCGCCAUGAGGGAUAUGCAACCUGCAGCUUCACCAUGCUUUUGGGAGAUCAUGUACUACGUGAACCUUGAGUAUCUACAAGCCAGCUACUUUAAGUCCUUGAAAGGGUAGUGAUGUCAUUCAAGCCAGAUCACGAGACAAGGUCCUGUACAAACUGUCAAUCUAAGUGUUGCGACAUCCCUGUCAGUUCUUUUGGACUGAAUACAUGCUGUGUUUGAAAUGUAUUAUUCGGAUAACCUCCCAUCAGGGAAUACCUUGUCUGUUAAUGACGGAUGGACAUGCCAUUGACAUGCAGUGCACACUUUGAUGUUUUUUAUUGUAAUGUUUUCUAUGUUUUUCCGAUGUUCUUUUUUAUUUAUGUUCUGUUAUAUGCUGGUUAUGUAAGUACUGUAUGGAAUGUAGUGACUGUAGAGCCCAAGACAAAUUUCAACCUGGGGACAAAAAGUUCACUCCACUCUGUUAGCGCAGUUAUGGAUGCACUGUAAAUUUUGUAAUUAACCAAAAGUACGGUGAGAAGCCUGUUUGUGCAGAUGGACCUGCUGGCGGGCCUGUUUACUCAUAGCUAAAAAGCAACAUAUUCUCUGUGCAAAGCACAUGGGCUCUUUGCAAAGGGGUUAAACAUUUUCAUGUGCUGUUUUACAGUGUGCUAUACAAAAGGUAAGGUGAAACUAUUUUUUUGAAAUUCUAUAAUUGAAGAGUUCAGAUGCAAA